Molecule: ribosomal RNA, 304 nt
Filed under: uncultured bacterium
Lineage: Bacteria
Description: partial 16S ribosomal RNA
Rfam family: Bacterial small subunit ribosomal RNA
Source: RNAcentral
CAGCAGUCGCCGCGGGAAUACAGAGGGUGCGAGCGUUAAUCGGAUUUACUGGGCGUAAAGCGUGCGUAGGCGGCUUUUUAAGUCGGAUGUGAAAUCCCUGAGCUUAACUUAGGAAUUGCAUUCGAUACUGGGAAGCUAGAGUAUGGGAGAGGAUGGUAGAAUUCCAGGUGUAGCGGUGAAAUGCGUAGAGAUCUGGAGGAAUACCGAUGGCGAAGGCAGCCAUCUGGCCUAAUACUGACGCUGAGGUACGAAAGCAUGGGGAGCAAACAGGAUUAGAUACCCCCGUAGUCCCUGUCUCUUAUAC